CAGCUGGGCUGCAGUGUUCUCAAGGAACUGCUCUGCGAUCAGGCCUGCCAGAAGGCACAAGACAGCGACCUCAGCUUCAAUCCAAAAGCCCCGGAUGGAGUGGGAAGAAAGAGGAAGGAAAUGAACAAAGCCCACAAGGACUGCAGCGCUAUGAUCAAAGGCCCCUGGAUUUUUGAUGUCUAAAGAACAGAUCCUAUUUGCACAUAAUCGGAUGUAUUAGAAGACUGUCUCAAAAAAGGUUAAAAGUUGGCUAGGGAUUUAGCUCAGUGGUUUUGCUGCCUGCUGCACAAGCACAAGGACCCGAGUUCAAUCCCGGGUACCAAAAAAAAAAA
Molecule: non-coding RNA, 332 nt
Organism: Heterocephalus glaber (naked mole-rat)
Lineage: Eukaryota; Metazoa; Chordata; Mammalia; Rodentia; Bathyergidae
Source: RefSeq, a predicted model, not a curated record